Molecule: ribosomal RNA, 1362 nt
Filed under: uncultured bacterium
Lineage: Bacteria
Description: bacterial SSU rRNA
Rfam family: Bacterial small subunit ribosomal RNA
Source: RNAcentral
AGAGUUUGAUCCUGGCUCAGAAUGAACGCUGGCGGCGUGGAUUAGGCAUGCGAGUCGCGCGAGAAUGUAGCAAUACAGGAAAGCGGCGAAAGGGAGAGGACAGCAUGGGAAUCUGCCCGGGGGACGAGGAUAGCGUCGGGAAACUGACGGUAAUACUCGAUAAUGUUUGCGGACCAAAGGUGUGAUUCCGCCCCUGGAUGAGCCCAUGCCCCAUUAGCUUGUUGGCGGUGUAAUGGACCACCAAGGCUGUGAUGGGUAGCUGGUGUGAGAGCACGACCAGCCUCACUGGCACUGAGACACUGGCCAGACACCUACGGGUGGCUGCAGUCGAGAAUCUUCGGCAAUGGACGAAAGUCUGACCGAGCGACGCCGCGUGCGGAUGAAGGCCUUCGGGUUGUAAACCGCUGUCGUAGAGGAUCAAAGGUAUUGGGGUUCUCCCCUUUAUUUGAGUGAUUCUAGGAGGAAGGAGAGGCUAAGCUCGUGCCAGCAGCCGCGGUAAGACGAGCUCUCCAAACGUUAUUCGGUAUUACUGGGCUUAAAGAGUUCGUAGGCGGCUUUGCAGGUGGGGUGUGAAAGCCCUCGGCUCAACCGAGGAAUUGCGCCCCAAACCGUAAGGCUUGAGGGAUAUAGGGGUAAGCGGAACAGAUGGUGGAGCGGUGAAAUGCAUUGAUAUCAUCUGGAACACCGGUGGCGAAGGCGGCUUACUGGAUAUUUACUGACGCUGAGGAACGAAAGCUAGGGUAGCGAACGGGAUUAGAUACCCCGGUAGUCCUAGCCGUAAACGAUGAGCACUAGUCUGAAGGACUCUCACAGUCUUUCGGACGUAGCGAAAGUGUUAAGUGCUCCGCCUGGGGAGUAUGGUCGCAAGGCUGAAACUCAAAGGAAUUGACGGGGGCUCACACAAGCGGUGGAGGAUGUGGCUUAAUUCGAGGCUACGCGAAGAACCUUAUCCUAGUCUUGACAUGCUUAAGAACCUGACUGAAAGGUUGGGGUGCCCGCAAGGGAGCUUUUGCACAGGUGCUGCAUGGCUGUCGUCAGCUCGUGUCGUGAGAUGUCGGGUUAAGUCCCUUAACGAGCACAACCCCUACUGUGUGUUGUAUCACUCACACGGGACUGCCGAGAGAAACUCGGAGGAAGGCGGGGAUGACGUCAAGUCAGCAUGGCCCUUACGUCCUGGGCUACACCCACGCUACAAUGGCCGGUACAACGGGCUGCGAAACCGCGAGGUGGAGCCAAUCCCUUAAAGCCGGUCUCAGUUCGGAUCGCAGGCUGCAACUCGCCUGCGUGAAGCCGGAGUUGCUAGUAACCGCCGGUCAGCAUACGGCGGUGAAUAUGUUCCCGGGCCUUGCACACACCGCCCGU